Molecule: unclassified non-coding RNA, 680 nt
Filed under: Arthroderma onychocola
Lineage: Eukaryota; Fungi; Ascomycota; Eurotiomycetes; Onygenales; Arthrodermataceae
Description: sequence contains 18S rRNA gene, ITS1, 5.8S rRNA gene, ITS2, 28S rRNA gene
Rfam family: 5.8S ribosomal RNA (bases 282-435)
Source: RNAcentral
ACAAGGUUUCCGUAGGUGAACCUGCGGAAGGAUCAUUAAAGCGCCGCCGACGCGGGCCCCUGGCGUCCAGGCUUGAGAUACAGCCUGGGCGGUUCAGGCGGACCCCGGCAGUUGCCCAUUCUUGACUACUGACCCAGUUGCCUCGGCGGGCCGUUCCGCCCGCGGCCGGCCGGAAGCCCCCUAGACCGUCAGGCCUAGGCGGCCCUGGUCUGCGCCCGCCGAAGGACAGUUAAAAAUCUUUAUAUAUUGGCCGUCUGAGCGUAUAAAGCAAAAUCAAUUAAAACUUUCAACAACGGAUCUCUUGGUUCCGGCAUCGAUGAAGAACGCAGCGAAAUGCGAUAAGUAAUGUGAAUUGCAGAAUUCCGUGAAUCAUCGAAUCUUUGAACGCACAUUGCGCCCUCUGGUAUUCCGGAGGGCAUGCCUGUUCGAGCGUCAUUGCAACCCUCAAGCCCGGCUUGUGUGAUGGGCGAACGUCCCUCCCCCUAGGGGGCGGGACGCGUCCGAAAGGCAGUGGCUAGGCCGCGAUUCCGGCGCCUGAGCGAAUGGGACUUCCACCGCUUCUAGGACCGGCCGGUACCUUUGGCCUUAUAACCAACAGGGUCCUAACAGACUCUUUCUAGGUUGACCUCGGAUCAGGUAGGGAUACCCGCUGAACUUAAGCAUAUCAAUAAGCGGAGGAA